This 505-nucleotide ribosomal RNA is filed under the name Malassezia furfur. Its description in RNAcentral is "eukaryotic LSU rRNA". It matches the Rfam family "Eukaryotic large subunit ribosomal RNA", at positions 163 to 626 of the family's 3401-position model. The record is from RNAcentral. Lineage: Eukaryota; Fungi; Basidiomycota; Malasseziomycetes; Malasseziales; Malasseziaceae.
CUCCAAAAUAAAGAAAAGGACAAUGUUCCCUGUGGGAACAGGACAUCGUAGAGGGUCGCCAAAUCCCGGUACUUGCCAUGGAUGUACCGUGCUUUGCGAUACGUGCUCUAAGAGUCGAGUUGUUUGGGAUUGCAGCUCAAAAUGGGUGGUAGACUCCAUCUAAAGCUAAAUAUCGGGGAGAGACCGAUAGCGAACAAGUACCGUGAGGGAAAGAUGAAAAGCACUUUGGAAAGAGAGUUAAAAGUACGUGAAAUUGUCGAAAGGGAAGCGCUUGAAGUCAGCCAUGCCGCUCAGGACUCAGCCUGGCUUUUGCUUGGUGUAUUUCCUGGGUAGCAAGUCAGCAUUGUUUUGGAUCGUCAGAGAAGCAUAGUCAGAAUGUGGCGCCCUCGGGCGUGUUAUAGCCUUCUAUUGGAUACGACAAUCUAGACCAAGGAACGCAGCGCGCCUUAUGGCGGGUCUUCUGACACCUUCUCGCUUAGGAUACUGGCGUAUUAUAAAAAAGGGC